CUUAAAUUGAAGAGUUUGAUCAUGGCUCAGAUUGAACGCUGGCGGCAGGCCUAACACAUGCAAGUCGAGCGGAAACGACACUAACAAUC
RNAcentral lists this ribosomal RNA (89 nucleotides) under Vibrio splendidus. Its description in RNAcentral is "partial 16S ribosomal RNA". It matches the Rfam family "Bacterial small subunit ribosomal RNA", at positions 1 to 84 of the family's 1533-position model. The record is from RNAcentral. Lineage: Bacteria; Pseudomonadati; Pseudomonadota; Gammaproteobacteria; Vibrionales; Vibrionaceae.